UGGGGAAUUUUGGACAAUGGGGGCAACCCUGAUCCAGCGAUGCCGCGUGAGUGAAGAAGGCCUGCGGGUUGUAAAGCUCUUUCGGUGGGGAGGAAGGCUCCCAAGCGAAUAACUUGGGGGAUUGACGUUACCCACAAAAGAAGCACCGGCUAACUCUGUGCCAGCAGCCGCGGUAAUACAGAGGGUGCAAGCGUUAAUCGGAAUUACUGGGCGUAAAGGGCGUGUAGGUGGACUUGUAAGUUUGAUGUGAAAGCCCCGGGCUUAACCUGGGAACUGCGUUGAAGACUGCAAGACUAGAGUUGGACAGAGGGUAGUGGAAUUUCCGGUGUAGCGGUGAAAUGCGUAGAGAUCGGAAAGAACACCCGUGGCGAAGGCGGCUACCUGGGUCCAAACUGACACUGAGGCGCGAAAGCGUGGGGAGCGAACAGGAUUAGAUACCCGGGUAGUCC
This 449-nucleotide ribosomal RNA is filed under the name uncultured bacterium. RNAcentral's name for it is "bacterial SSU rRNA". It matches the Rfam family "Bacterial small subunit ribosomal RNA", at positions 355 to 796 of the family's 1533-position model. The record is from RNAcentral.